RNA transcript from Zea mays, 2818 nucleotides. RefSeq lists it as uncharacterized. The record is from RefSeq and is marked validated. Lineage: Eukaryota; Viridiplantae; Streptophyta; Magnoliopsida; Poales; Poaceae. The transcript has 11 exons.
AUCCCAUUAUUAUUCAUUUAACAAUGAUUGAACCAAACAACACAUUAGAGGACAGCCUUAACCUAAAGCCCACAUGGAUCCUUGGGCCAGGCCGCCAAACAGGCCAGCCCGCUGCAUCUCACAGUUCAGUUGACCCCUGCGUGAAACUGCGGAUUGUUUUCACCGGAUAUUUCUGCGUUGGACGUGGACACUGGAAAGCGUCGCCGGGUCGCCGUCAAACUCGCUGCCACGUCGGUCCGAACCAAAUCCAGCACCCUGCACCCUCUUCCUCCAUCGCACCCUAUCCUCCUCCUCCCCGGUCCGGCGGUCCCCACCGGUCCACCACGGCACCACCGUCUCCCCGCCCCCCGCGUCCGAUCACCGCACCGGCGAACUCGGCGAGCCGCUCGUCGCUGCACGCUAAGCUGGGAAUGGCCGCUGCGCUCGCCAGCUCACCGCUUGUUCACCUAUCCACCUCCCGCCUCCGCCUCCCCAGGCCCCGGGCCUCCUCCAGUUCCGCUCCAGGCUGCUCGAUCGGCGUGUGCUUGGGAUGGAGGCUGAAGGUCGGGUGGAGGGCUCUGAGGCGGUGCGACCGGCUUCGAUGCUUCUCCACCGACGGCGACGGCGUGGAGGAGGGGGAGAAGCGUGGCGAGGAGGAGGCCUCGGCGACGGCGGCCCCGGCCCCGGACCCAGCCCCAGCGGAGACACAGGUGGGCGCUGCGGAGGAGCUGGCGUCUGAGCGGAGCCGAUCAGGGAGCUUUUCGUCCUCAUCCUCGUCCGGGAAUCCUGGUGUAUCAAGCGAGCCACCACUGUUGAGUUUUAGUGUUGAUAAUAUCGAUACAGUUAAACUAUUGGAACUUCUAGGCCCGGAAAAGGUUGACCCAGUUGAUGUCAUGGCAAUUAAGGAAAAACUCUUUGGUUAUACGACAUUCUGGUUGACAAAAGAAGAGCCUUUUGGUGAUCUCGGUGAAGGAGUCCUUUUCAUUGGGAAUCUCCGUGGGAAGAGGGAGGAAAUCUUUGCAAAACUUCAAAGGCAACUACGCGAACUUGCUGGUGAAAAAUACAAUCUUUUUAUGGUGGAGGAACCCAAUUCAGAAGGGGAUGACCCACGUGGGGGACCACGUGUUAGUUUUGGUUUGCUUAGGAAGGAAGUUUCUGAGCCUGGACCUACUACCCUAUGGCAGUAUGUCAUUUCUCUGUCACUUUUCCUUCUCACUAUGUUCUCCUGUGUUGAGCUAGGAAUUGCAUCAAAGAUUAGCAGUCUUCCACCAGAAAUUGUUUCAUAUUUCACUGAUCCAAAUUCUACUGGACCCCCUCCUGAUAUGCAACUUCUGCUCCCAUUUGUGGAAUCGGCUUUGCCAGUGGCUUACGGUGUCUUGGCUAUCCAAUUAUUUCAUGAAAUUGGACACUUUUUGGCAGCAUUUCCAAAAAAUGUGAAACUAGGCAUUCCUUUCUUUAUUCCGAACUUCACCCUUGGAACUUUUGGUGCAAUUACUCAGUUCAAGUCCAUUCUUCCGGAUCGAAAGACAAUGUUUGACAUAUCAAUGGCUGGUCCUGUGGCUGGAGCUGCACUUUCCUUUUCAAUGUUCUUUGUAGGCUUAUUACUCUCUUCAAAUCCUGUUGGGGCAAGUGAUUUAGUAGAAGUACCUAGCCAGCUGUUCCAGGGUUCAUUAUUGCUUGGACUCAUUAGUAGAGCAACACUUGGAUACAGAGCUAUGCAUGCUGCUACAGUUUCGAUCCACCCUCUAGUGAUUGCAGGCUGGUGUGGUUUAACUACUACUGCAUUUAAUAUGCUUCCUGUUGGAUGUCUUGAUGGUGGAAGAGCAUUACAGAAAACAGGGUUGUACUCAGCUUCGCAUGAUGACGGGGCUACCACCUUCUGCUUUUGAGACUGCCAGGUUAUGAUGUUGCUGCUGAGGAAGAACAGGACACUAGAGGUACUCUUCCUUGUAUCAAUAUCUCCAGCAAGGUCACUGUCACUAUAACCUUCAAGCUGUGCCUCCUUCGUCCUCUAGUAGUGGCAACCGUAGUGAAGAGUCCUUGCAAUUUACCUGAGCACUCUCUUUACUGCUGCCAUAUGUCCAGUGGUUUCUCAAUGAAUCUGCUUAUGUACCCCAUUGAGAACGCCAAAUCUGGCCUUGAAUUCACCAAAUAGCACAGAGAACCAACAAUGAACCUAUACCGAGGAGCGUCAACAGCAGGGACAAAGCUUGACUUAGCUUCAACCUGGGCUCCAUUGGGGUGUUGCUUGGAUUGCAGCCUGACAAACCCUAGAUCACUCAUCUGGCUUACAGUGAUCCCCAUCUCAGAUUGUGCCACCUCCAGGCCAAGGGUGCUUUUGGCAAGGAUGCUUUGUUUGGAUUUGGCCUCACAACAUACUCGUUGCUUGGACUAGGAGUGCUUGGAGGACCACUGUCUCUUCCUUGGGGUUUGUACGUGCUAAUUUGCCAGAGAACACCGGAGAAACCAUGCUUGAACGACGUAAGCGAUAUUGGAGGUUGGAGGAGGACGGCCUUGAUAGCUUCAGUGUUUCUUGUUGUUUUGACUCUCAUCCCGUUGUGGGAUGAACUCGCGGAGGAACUAGGUGUAGGGCUUGUUACUUCGUUCUGAGAUACGGUCCUUACCGAUAGAAUUAGGCCGUGAUGUAGCUCAAUUUUGUAUUGAAAUGUAGCGUCCCAUAGCGGGACUGCUGUAAAGGCAUGUGCAGUUUCCUGAUUAGGUGAGCAAUGAUAUCACCUAUGCGAGUGUCAUGAAAUUGUGCCAAGACGCUGACGAUUAUUAUCAAUUACAUACAUGUACGCACAUUUUGACCAUACGAGUACAGAUACACACAACCUAC